GUCUACGGCCAUACCACCCUGAACGUGCCCGAUCUCGUCUGAUCUUGGAAGCUAAGCAGGGUCGGGCCUGGUUAGUACUUGGAUGGAAGACCAUCUGGGAAUACCAGGUGCUGCAGGCU
Molecule: ribosomal RNA, 119 nt
Filed under: Aotus nancymaae (Ma's night monkey)
Lineage: Eukaryota; Metazoa; Chordata; Mammalia; Primates; Aotidae
Source: RNAcentral